Molecule: ribosomal RNA, 253 nt
Filed under: uncultured bacterium
Lineage: Bacteria
Description: partial 16S ribosomal RNA
Rfam family: Bacterial small subunit ribosomal RNA
Source: RNAcentral
UACAGAGGUCUCAAGCGUUGUUCGGAUUCACUGGGCGUAAAGGGUGCGUAGGCGGUCGGAUAAGUCUGAUGUGAAAUCUUCGAGCUCAACUCGGAAACUGCAUCGGAAACUAUUCGGCUAGAGGAUUGGAGGGGAGACUGGAAUUCUCGGUGUAGCAGUGAAAUGCGUAGAUAUCGAGAGGAACACCAGUGGCGAAGGCGAGUCUCUGGACAAUUCCUGACGCUGAGGCACGAAAGCUAGGGGAGCAAACAGG